CUGCAGCCAAUUAAGCUGACUGUGUUCUUUCCCCGCGGGGCCCCAGUGUGAAAUGGCCGCAUACAGUAGCCUCUUUGGUAGUGUAUGCAGCCUGUUGAUUGUAUGAGUUGCCCUAAGAGACCUUGGGGACGGCC
Suricata suricatta (meerkat) is the source of this 134-nucleotide small nucleolar RNA. Its record names the gene SNORA70. It matches the Rfam family "Small nucleolar RNA SNORA70". From Rfam's summary of the family: snoRNA U70 seems to be exclusive to mammals and is a member of the H/ACA class of snoRNA which contain H (ANANNA) and ACA box motifs. H/ACA box snoRNAs are involved in the conversion of uridines to pseudouridines (5-ribosyluracil) a constituent of structural RNAs (transfer, ribosomal, small nuclear, and small nucleolar). Lineage: Eukaryota; Metazoa; Chordata; Mammalia; Carnivora; Herpestidae. The record is from Ensembl.